GGGAGUAUAGCUUAGUGGUAGAACACGUGCUUGGUGUGCACAAGUUCCUGGGUUCAAUCCCCAGGGCCUCCA
This 72-nucleotide transfer RNA is filed under the name Camelus bactrianus (Bactrian camel). It matches the Rfam family "tRNA". Rfam says of the family: Transfer RNA (tRNA) molecules are approximately 80 nucleotides in length. RNAcentral also lists the same sequence under 1 other name. The record is from Rfam by way of RNAcentral. Lineage: Eukaryota; Metazoa; Chordata; Mammalia; Artiodactyla; Camelidae.